Molecule: long non-coding RNA, 1169 nt
Filed under: Homo sapiens (human)
Lineage: Eukaryota; Metazoa; Chordata; Mammalia; Primates; Hominidae
Description: HSALNT0193499
Source: RNAcentral
CUUUCCACCAGGGAAGACUGCAAAGGCCAGAGAUCAUUUUCACAACUAAAGGUCGUCAUCUGGGCAAAUGAACCACUCUGACUUGGAGAUUAGGGGCUCAGACAGCCGUGGAUGAGAGUCCAGCUCUACUACUUAUUAGCCUUGAUUAGUUGACUGUCACUGCCGAGACCAGCUUCUGAGUAAUUUCAGCCCAGGCAUCAGACUAGUGAGGGAAGGAGCUUCCAGGUGAUACCACCUCCCAGCCAUUUGCCAUCUUUAGCGCCAAAGGAAUUGCGUCCUCCCACUUGGAUUGAAUGCAGAGCCGCAGCCAUCUAAAAGGAGGAUUUGGGGGGAGCAUGGAGUAGAAAAUGAGGAAGGGGCAGGAUAUGACAGGGGAGACAAUAAAAAGGUCAACACAGCUCCCACCUCGAAGCAGCUGCCAGUUUAUUACAUGAAGUGUCAGGCUGUGGACUGCAGGCAUGCCAUUUUGUCUUCAAGAACAGAAUUCCCGGGCACACGAAUGAUUCCAGGGUUCCUCCAGCACUUUGGUAUUACUUGAAAGCAAUCUUAAGGGAUCUAGAAUGAACCAACGCCCAAAAAGGAUCCCUUAGCAGCGGUGAUAUCAAAGAAACACUUUUGAAGAACUAAUUUUCCACCCAGAUUUCCCCAAUUUUAAAAGCAAUGGGCAAAGCCUUCUCCACUCCUAAACUUCCUGGAACUGUCUUUUGGCUAUAUCAGGCCCCUGAAGUUAGAGUCUUUGAAAGACUCCAAACUCCAAAUUCUAUGCUUUUAUUCUCAGGCUCCUCAUAAUUCUACAGCACACCAGACUGCUGACCACUCUCCGUACCACUUUUAAAUUAUUUCUUCCCACAGCUUUCUUAACAAUGAACCUUUGAAAUCUUUUUAGUUUUCCAUUUAUUUUGCUACCUUUCCUCUGUCCUAGCUCUAAAAUGAAGAUCCUCUAAGGUUCUACAGUUUACUUCUUGUAUUCUCCUUUGUAAGUCAUCUCCAAGACGAUGUCCAAAUCCAUCACCAUUAAAAUUAAUAGUUUCCUCACCCACAACACUUAAUAUUUUAAAAAAAAUACUUUUCAUUGUAUUAUAAUUACUUGAUACAUACAUAUUUGCUCUGUGAGUUCCUUAUUCAUCAUAUUAGUGCCUGACAAUAAAUGUGUGCUGGAUUGAGCUGAA